RNAcentral lists this ribosomal RNA (346 nucleotides) under uncultured bacterium. RNAcentral's name for it is "bacterial SSU rRNA". It matches the Rfam family "Bacterial small subunit ribosomal RNA", at positions 32 to 372 of the family's 1533-position model. The record is from RNAcentral.
AAUCAACGCUGGCGGCGUGCCUCAGACAUGCAAGUCGAACGAUUAAAGCUCUCUUCGGAGAGUGCAUAGAGUGGCGCACGGGUGAGUAACACGUAAGUAAUCUACCCUCGAGUGGGGAAUAACGUCCGGAAACGGACGCUAAUACCGCAUAAUGCAGCGGCAUCGCAAGAUGACAGUUGUUAAAGAUUUAUCGCUUGAAGAGGAGCUUGCGGCAGAUAGCUAGUUGGUAAGGUAAUGGCUUACCAAGGCUACGAUCUGUAACCGGUCUUAGAGGACGGUCGGUCACACUGACACUGAAUAACGGGUCAGACUCCUACGGGAGGCAGCAGUCGGGAAUUUUGGCAAU